This 378-nucleotide ribosomal RNA is filed under the name Chaetoceros curvisetus. Its description in RNAcentral is "partial Eukaryotic large subunit ribosomal RNA". It matches the Rfam family "Eukaryotic large subunit ribosomal RNA", at positions 11 to 385 of the family's 3401-position model. The record is from RNAcentral. Lineage: Eukaryota; Bacillariophyta; Thalassiosirophyceae; Chaetocerotales; Chaetocerotaceae.
UCAGGCGGGACUACCCGCUGAGUUUAAGCAUAUCAAUAAGCGGAGGAAAAGAAACUAACAAGGAUUCCCCUAGUAACGGCGAGUGAAGCGGGAAGAGCUCAAAUUUGUAAUCUGGCACUUUCAGUGUCCGAGUUGUAAUCUCGAGAAGUGUUUUCCGCGCCGGACCGCAUACAAGUCUGUUGGAAUACAGCGUCAUAGUGGUGAGAACCCCGUAACUGAUGCGGAUGCCCGGUGCUUUGUGAUACACUUUCGAAGAGUCGAGUUGUUUGGGAAUGCAGCUCAAAUUGGGUGGUAAAUUCCAUCUAAAGCUAAAUAUUGGCGAGAGACCGAUAGCGAACAAGUACCGUGAGGGAAAGAUGAAAAGAACUUUGGAAAGAG